AAUAUUGCACAAUGGGGGAAACCCUGAUGCAGUGACGCCGCGUGAGCGAAGAAGGCCUUCGGGUCGUAAAGCUCUGCUCUAAGGGAAGAAAUGGACGGUACCUUAGGAGGAAGCCCCGGCUAACUACUUUCCAGCAGCCCCGGUAAUACGUACGGGGCGAACGUUGUCCGGAAUUAUUGGGCGUAAAGGGUGCGUAGGCGGCCUUCUAAGUCAGGUGUGAAAGGCUACGGCUUAACCGUAGUUAGCAUUGGAAACUAAAAGGAUUGAGUGCAGGAGAGGAGAGUGGAAUUCCUAGUGUAGCGGUGAAAUGCGUAGAUAUUAGGAGGAACACCAGUGGCGAAGGCGACUCUCUGGACUGCAACUGACGCUGAGGCACGAAAGCGUGGGGAGCGAACA
Molecule: ribosomal RNA, 396 nt
Filed under: uncultured bacterium
Lineage: Bacteria
Description: partial 16S ribosomal RNA
Rfam family: Bacterial small subunit ribosomal RNA
Source: RNAcentral